GAUGAACGCUGGCGGCGUGCCUAACACAUGCAAGUCGAGCGAUCUCUUCGGAGAGAGCGGCGGACGGGUGAGUAACGCGUGGGUAACCUGCCCUGUACACACGGAUAACAUACCGAAAGGUAUGCUAAUACGGGAUAAUAUAUAAAAGUCGCAUGGCUUUUAUAUCAAAGCUUUUGCGGUACAGGAUGGACCCGCGUCUGAUUAGCUAGUUGGCAAGGUAACGGCUUACCAAGGCGACGAUCAGUAGCCGACCUGAGAGGGUGAUCGGCCACACUGGAACUGAGACACGGUCCAGACUCCUACGGGAGGCAGCAGUGGGGAAUAUUGCACAAUGGGCGAAAGCCUGAUGCAGCAACGCCGCGUGAGCGAUGAAGGCGUUCGGGUCGUAAAGCUCUGUCCUCAAGGAAGAUAAUGACGGUACUUGAGGAGGAAGCCCCGGCUAACUACGUGCCAGCCGCCGCGGUAA
Molecule: ribosomal RNA, 466 nt
Filed under: uncultured bacterium
Lineage: Bacteria
Description: partial 16S ribosomal RNA
Rfam family: Bacterial small subunit ribosomal RNA
Source: RNAcentral